GGAGGACUGAGCGCUUAAUCUGUGGGAUCUGACGCUAUCUCCAGGUGGAUGUUGUCAGAAUUGAAUUAUAGGACACUCACCUGGUGUGAUGGAGAACUGCUUGCUGUGGGGAAAAAGCCACACGCAUUUGGUGACCAGAAGUGAAGGGUUCUAUGUGAGAAGUAAAGAAAACACACAGGUGGAAAACUGAGUUUUUCUAAAAUACUAAGUAAUUCACAAAUUUAAAAGAAAUACCAAAAAGGAUACAUAGGAAGUUAAUCACAAUGGUUGCCUGGAAGGAGGAGAAUUCAGUAGCUGGGGGGCAAGAAUAAGAGGAAGAUCAGCCCUGAGCCAGUCCUCCUCUUUUUGCUGAGGAAGACUGGCCCUGAGCUAACAUCCAUGCCCAUCUUCCUCUACUUUAUAUGUGAGAUGCCUACCACAGCAUGGCUUGCCAAGCGGUGCCAUGUCUGCACCCAAGAUCCGAACCGGCAAACCCUGGGCCACCGAGAAGGGGAACAUUCGAGCUUAACCACUGUGCCACCGGGCCGGCCCCCACUUAUUUUUUAAGCACGUUUAUUUAAAUUCUGAAUUUGUUUCACAGGGAACACGUCUUACUUUUGUAACCAGAAAAAAAAUAACAAAGGCUGUUGUUUGUGUCUUUCUUUUUUUUCCUGGAACAAUGGCCAUUCAAGAAUCCCAAAAGGAACUUCCAGGGGUUACUAAUGAAGCCGAGCAGAGAAGGAGAGAGCAUCCUUCCUCACUGGCUGCCUGGGAAGGGGGAUUGACUGCAAACGGGCACUGGGAUCUUUGCGGGGGGUGGUAAGAAAUGGUCUACAAUCCAAUUGUGGUUAUGGUUGCACAACUCUGUAAAUUUGCUAAAACUCAUUGCAUUAUAUACUUA
RNAcentral lists this long non-coding RNA (880 nucleotides) under Equus caballus (horse). Its description in RNAcentral is "lncRNA (ENSECAG00000051951.1)". Lineage: Eukaryota; Metazoa; Chordata; Mammalia; Perissodactyla; Equidae. The record is from RNAcentral.